UGGGGAAUAUUGCGCAAUGGGGGAAACCCUGACGCAGCAACGCCGCGUGAGUGAGGAAGGACUUCGGUCUGUAAAGCUCUGUUAAUGUGGAAAAAUGUUAGUUGGUCUAAUAGGCCGAUUAAUUGAUGGUACACAUAGAGGAAGCACCGGCUAACUUCGUGCCAGCAGCCGCGGUAAUACGAAGGGUGCAAGCGUUGUUCGGAUUUAUUGGGCGUAAAGCGCGCGUAGGCGGACCUGCAAGUCAGAUGUGAAAUCUCGGGGCUCAACCUCGAAACUGCGUCUGAAACUACAGGUCUAGAAUCUUGGAGGGGGAAGGGGAAUUUCGCAUGUAGGGGUAAAAUCCGUAGAUAUGCGAAGGAACACCAGAGGCGAAGGCGCCUUCCUGGACAAGUAUUGACGCUGAGGCGCGAAAGCGUGGGGAUCAAACA
RNAcentral lists this ribosomal RNA (428 nucleotides) under uncultured Bacteriovorax sp. RNAcentral describes it as "bacterial SSU rRNA". It matches the Rfam family "Bacterial small subunit ribosomal RNA", at positions 355 to 774 of the family's 1533-position model. The record is from RNAcentral. Lineage: Bacteria; Pseudomonadati; Bdellovibrionota; Bacteriovoracia; Bacteriovoracales; Bacteriovoracaceae.